UUUUCUCUCCUUUCUACUCCUAGUCCAAACCUUCCUCUUUCUUCUACAUGCGCCGCUGCCGGCGAGAAGCCACGGUCGCCGAUGUUCUCCACCGUCUUCUCUCUCCCUCUGCCUCACCCUCUGUCGGCGAAAAACCUGCAACCAUAUCACCGCAAAGCCGCCGCCCAAAAGCCCUAGAUCCCUAAACCACCAACUCCGCCCUCACAUCUAAGCACUGACGCCGUUCCACACGGCGUCGCCUCCCUCCUCGAAGACGAUAAAUGCGCCGCUGCCUCCCUCUGCACAGCCCGUUUCCAGUCGCCGUCCGGGUUUCAAACUACGGCGUCGCCCAAGCCCUAGCCUCCAGAUCUCGGCCUCCUCCCUCGUCUGCAUCUUUAAUUCUAGCGUUCUCCAUAUGAAAUUUUGAAAUUUUUUCUUGCAGAUUAGUUUUCUUUUUUAUACUUUGUAAGAUCUAUUUUUCUUUCGUUUGUUAGUUUUUCGUUUUUUAAUUUUAAAUUUUUCUAAUUUUCUCCAUGUUUAAUUUUUCUUGCUGAAGUAUCAUUUUUGUUCAUUUAAACGAUAGCCAAAAAAUUUCGUCUACAUCUGCUCCAAUGUUUUUGUUCAUAAGAAACCCUAGCCACAAAUUUUAUUUAAGAACGACUUUAGGUAGAUCUUAUGUUUUUGCUCUGCUGUUCAAAUUUUGCGCACAAUUUUCACAAAUUUUCAUAAGAAACCCUCUGCACAAAUUUUGCGCAGGUAGAUCUGCUCCAAUGUUUUUGCUCCAAUGUCUUUUCUUUUUUUUCCUAUACAGAAAUCUUUUAUUUUUUUCGCAUUCUUAGUUUCUCAUUUUAUAGAUCUCUGAAUAUCUACACAUGAAACUGGUACUUGUUGAUUUUUAGAUAUCUGCUUUGUCUUGUUUUUCAUUUUCAUUUUCAUUUUGGUAGAUCUCUGAAUAUCUACAAAUGCAUUUUUGCUGCAUUUGCCCUUGUUUUCGCUGUUCAAGGCCACGGCCACGGCGCUUUCGCCCCUGCUCCUGCUCCGUCUCCAACCAGAGACGGUUAGUUCCUCUUUUCCACAGUCGUUUAUUUAUUGAAAUAUUUUGUAUUCAGAUUUUUGAAGAUGCUAUUCAUGAAUUCAACCUCUCCAUGUUGAGCUAUUUGCUCUUGCUUUUCGUGUUUCAUAGAAGAUGCAAGAAAUUUGUUUUGUUUGCUUUUUGCCAUCUUCCCAACUGAGAUAGAUAAUAUUAUCAUAUUUCAACAUAUAUAAUUUCUCAUACAAAAAUAAUAUAAUAUGAAAUUUCUAUGCUAACUUGCUGUAAAUCUUUGAAUACACACUAAAACCAUUUUUUUGUGGCUUUUGCAGAUAUGAGUGGUAAUAUACUUCUUUCUCUAUUGAAAGAUUCAGUCGUUGAAGAUUCAGUCUUGAUCUGGCGAAAAGUCUUGAUCUGCAGCGAAAAUUCAGAAAUAUUAGCUACAUUUUUAAACUUUAUGUAUAAAGUAGAAAUAAGUGUAUAGAUUUGUAUCAUAGUUGUAAUUGAAACUAAUACUAAUAAACAGCAAAAAGCUAAACAAAAUAAAAAGCAUAAAAGGAUCAGAAUAAAAAGCUAAACAAAAAUACCACAUAAAAACAGUAAAAAUAAAAUAGCAUAAAAAGCAGUUGAAAAAAAAGGAUCAGAGAGAGAAAGUUUGCAAUUGGAAAAUGCUGUCUACAAUAAUCUGAGGUCCUAUUUAUAGAAAUACACUCACUGUUAUCAGCAAUUAAUUUGGGCUCCAAAAAUUUGAAAUUUGAAUUUGGGCUGCACUUUUUGGAGCCAAAACAGACAGGUUUCUCCAAGGCCCAUCAGGCAAUAAACAGCAACAUUAUACGGUGGAUAAAAACAGGCAGGCUUUGGCUGGAAAAUUUUUUGGCAAAACUUGUGCUUUAAUAUAAGUAUAGAUAGAUAUUAUAUAUAAAGCAGCAGUUCUAACGGCUAGAAAUUCCCGGCAAUUUUUUUGACAGUUUCCUUCCCAAAAUUUUAGGAUUAUUUGAACGAACAUGGGUAGAUUUUUCAUGAAUCAGUAUUUUUCUUCCAAGAUUUCAGCAACAAUUCAAUUUUUUUUAUCAAAAUUUCAAGCAGAUUUCAGAAAACAAGGAUAACAGAAACAAGAAUUUCAGUAAUAAUCCAG
Molecule: long non-coding RNA, 2144 nt
Filed under: Salvia miltiorrhiza (redroot sage)
Lineage: Eukaryota; Viridiplantae; Streptophyta; Magnoliopsida; Lamiales; Lamiaceae
Description: long non-coding RNA (SMIL_LNC007165)
Source: RNAcentral